This 89-nucleotide transfer RNA is filed under the name Agitococcus sp. Its description in RNAcentral is "tRNA-Leu". It matches the Rfam family "tRNA". From Rfam's summary of the family: Transfer RNA (tRNA) molecules are approximately 80 nucleotides in length. Their secondary structure includes four short double-helical elements and three loops (D, anti-codon, and T loops). Further hydrogen bonds mediate the characteristic L-shaped molecular structure. tRNAs have two regions of fundamental functional importance: the anti-codon, which is responsible for specific mRNA codon recognition, and the 3' end, to which the tRNAs corresponding amino acid is attached (by aminoacyl-tRNA synthetases). tRNAs cope with the degeneracy of the genetic code in two manners: having more than one tRNA (with a specific anti-codon) for a particular amino acid; and 'wobble' base-pairing, i.e. permitting non-standard base-pairing at the 3rd anti-codon position. The record is from RNAcentral. Lineage: Bacteria; Pseudomonadati; Pseudomonadota; Gammaproteobacteria; Moraxellales; Moraxellaceae. RNAcentral also lists the same sequence under 2 other names.
GCCUGAGUGGUGAAAUAGGUAGACACAAGGGAUUUAAAAUCCCUCGGCGGGUGACUGCCGUGCCGGUUCGACUCCGGCCUCAGGCACCA